Molecule: ribosomal RNA, 517 nt
Filed under: uncultured bacterium
Lineage: Bacteria
Description: bacterial SSU rRNA
Rfam family: Bacterial small subunit ribosomal RNA
Source: RNAcentral
AAUCAACGCUGGCGGCGUGCCUAACACAUGCAAGUCGAACGCGAAAGUCCCGCAAGGGAUGAGUAGAGUGGCAAACGGGUGAGUAACACGUGGGUGACCUGCCUUCGAGUGGGGGAUAACGUCCCGAAAGGGACGCUAAUACCGCAUGACAUCCUGUCUUUGGAAAGACGGAGAUCAAAGCUGGGGAUUCGCAAGAACCUGGCGCUUGAAGAGGGGCCCGCGCCUGAUUAGCUAGUGGUAGGGUAACGGCCUACCAAGGCAACGAUCAGUAUCCGGCCUGAGAGGGCGGACGGACACACUGGGACUGAGACACGGCCCAGACUCCUACGGGAGGCAGCAGUGGGGAAUUGUUCGCAAUGGGCGAAAGCCUGACGACGCAACGCCGCGUGGAGGACGAAGAUCUUCGGGUCGUAAACUCCUGUCGAGUGGGAAGAAUGCUUCGGGGUGAAUAAUCCCCGGAAUUGACGGUACCACUAAAGGAAGCCCCGGCUAACUCCGUGCCAGCCGCCGCGGUAAC